Long non-coding RNA from Anopheles moucheti, 1390 nucleotides. RefSeq lists it as uncharacterized. The transcript is spliced from 3 exons. The record is from RefSeq and is a predicted model, not a curated record. NCBI's taxonomy places the organism in Eukaryota, Metazoa, Arthropoda, Insecta, Diptera, Culicidae.
GUGAAAAUAUCGAACGAAAACUCUGCGUGAGAAGUGAGCAGUUCUAUGUGGGAUAUUCGGAAGGUCAUGCGUUGUUUUUGGGGUCAAAUGCUAGUGGUGCUUUUUAGCCAAAUUGUGCAUUUGCUAAAAUAUACAUAUUAGGAAAGCUACAUCCAUUUGAAUUUGCUCAUAAUCGCUCAAGAAAAGAGACGUCGUGGUUGGAAGAAAAACAGAUUCUAUCUACAGAGCGAUUUGAAUGAAUGAAUGUGGUGCCAAUCCUGUUCAAAAGAAAACACUUAGCUCCAGCUUCUAGAGUGUUCGAGUCAUUAGCUCAAAGCCUCCAACCCGCCGAAACCGUCAGACAUAUUGGGGGAAGAGACCGCUCCUACCCAGAAGUGCCCAGAAGCCAAACGUUUACGCAUUGGUCCCACCUGUCACCCGGGGGGCGGCUUUAACAAACCAGCUCACCUGAAUUGCUGUCAGUCUGGGUGGAUCUGUUCCCGCACCUCGAUACACACCACCACACCGUGACCAUCUUCUCUUCAUCACCGACGAACAUCAUCAUCAUCAUCAUCUUCAUCAGCUCCAGCAUUCGCAUUCGGAUACCGUAACCCCCAGCACGUUCGGGAACUAACGCAACCGUCAGAGCGCAUCCACGCGAAGUGCUGCCCGCGAAUCGAAAGCACUUCCCCAAGCGGGGCAGUAUCAGUUCUCCCGGAGAGUGGCGUUACGUUCCGCCGGCGUACAUCUUCACGAGAGCCCUAGCGCGAGAGCCCACCACACAUAUAUCCAGCGCACCGUCAUCGGACGUCACGCCGCUGGGAAGGGUUAGGCCCGGCGCGAUAGUUAAUGCGUCGCCGCAAACACGAACAGCGCACCAGUGUUGGCUCGGGUUUCGGCCGAAACGCGUCGCGAGUAGCAGCACCAACAAUCCGACGAACCGGCUGUGUUGUGGGCCCCGUUGGACGGUUUAACUCGGUGGUGUUAUGUAAAUCAGUGGAAUCCCGCCAACUCCACCAUCACGCGAACGUGGCUCCGUUGCGGCGCACAACUCUACCAUAUUCUUAUCAUCCUCAACAUCAUCACCAGCAUCCCGCAUGGUUAGUGCGCCCGCUCUGUGUGUGUUUUGUGGUUGUUUUUCGAACGUGCAGCACCGAUUCUCGUAUUCUCGCGUUCGAAUAGUCUGUGCGCAUCGUAAUAUAAUUCUCAAGCACGAACGGGUUUUGCACGGAACAUCCGCACCAAGAACUAACUGCGCACCGUACGAGUCAUUCGCGCACUGAAGUUCUGCCAGCAAAGGGACGAGUGACUUUACCGCACGGUGAAGGCAAGUGUUUUCGUGUGGCCCUCUCGCGAUCGCGAUGGUUGAGCGAAAAAUGCUGACCGGUGCGAAAGCAAAUCAUCCAAUAAC